UACGGAGGGGGCUAGCGUUGUUCGGAAUUACUGGGCGUAAAGCGCACGUAGGCGGCUUUGUAAGUCUGAUGUGAAAGCCCACGGCUCAACCGUGGAGGGUCAUUGGAAACUGGGGAACUUGAGUGCAGAAGAGAAAAGCGGAAUUCCACGUGUAGCGGUGAAAUGCGUAGAGAUGUGGAGGAACACCAGUGGCGAAGGCGGCCUGCUGGGCAGUGGCUGACGCUGAGGCGCGACAGCGUGGGGAGCAAACGGG
Molecule: ribosomal RNA, 253 nt
Filed under: uncultured bacterium
Lineage: Bacteria
Description: partial 16S ribosomal RNA
Rfam family: Bacterial small subunit ribosomal RNA
Source: RNAcentral